RNAcentral lists this long non-coding RNA (1062 nucleotides) under Chinchilla lanigera (long-tailed chinchilla). RNAcentral describes it as "lncRNA (ENSCLAG00000022454.1)". The record is from RNAcentral. Lineage: Eukaryota; Metazoa; Chordata; Mammalia; Rodentia; Chinchillidae.
UCCAGGACUCCUAAUCAUUCCCAGGUCUCUGCUUUUAUAACUAUUCCAUUAUUCAUCGUGGAAUAUGAUGAAAUCACACAAACCAUACAGUACAACCGACGACCCCAUAGCGGGUCCUCCUCUUAUUCAACCCCCAAAAGUUACAAGAAAGACAAAGGGGCCAGCGCAAUCCUAGCACAGUCCUGACGGUUCUUCCACACCCAGUGAACUCUCUUGGAACUCAACUGCAGAGAGUCACUCAUUGUGACAAACACUAAAAGUUUAGAAUUUUAGUCUUUCAUUUGCCAAUCGCCAUGCAUGAGGCAUGACUCACGGGCUUCAGGAGAUAAAGUCCCGGAGUUAAAGACACACACCCUCGCUUUCUUUCGCCUUUCUACCUCUGGCUCAGGUGGGACCUCGAGGAAGUAUAACUUUGUGGGUCCGCCUAAUCUGGCAGUUUCGUGAAUGAACUGAAAAGACAUGCACACUUACGAGGGAGAGAGAUGUCCUCUUCAGUGGGCCGUUCGUGAGCGGAGCGGAGGAGGAACCGAAGCCGCAGGGGCGCCUGCAGAGGAGAAGCUUUUCCUACCUUCGCAUGUGUUGGGUCAGCAGCAAAUGUCAGCCGGUGGCUGACCGAACAGCCUGCCUCAGGUGGGAAAGCUGCACGCGAGACGUUUCCGUGCCAGGCCCGACCGAACCCCAGAACCUUCGCUGACAGCCCUUGACUUUGAACUCCAAGUAUCAGACUUGCAGGUACAGCUGGAAGGGUGGAAAGGUUUCCAACGGACAGAAAUCGGUCUGGAAGUCACUCCAAGGAGAGAUACCGUGUCAACAAAAGAAGAAAUCUGCCCACACAUGUUGGAAAGUUGGUUCCAGAGAAUGGAGGCUUUGACCUUAUUGACUGCUCGGCUAGUCAGCAGAUACUUGAUGGAUUCUUUCAUUCAUUCAGCACGUUAUUUUAUGACAAGUACUACAUAUUAAAAUUUUAAAGAAAAAUCACCUUUGGCUUGUAAAUUCUAGGUUAAAUAUUUACUUAGACUUUAGAAGUUAAACUUGUUUCAAUUUUUAUUUGCUUGUUUCUGU